This 230-nucleotide ribosomal RNA is filed under the name uncultured microorganism. RNAcentral describes it as "partial 16S ribosomal RNA". It matches the Rfam family "Bacterial small subunit ribosomal RNA", at positions 524 to 752 of the family's 1533-position model. The record is from RNAcentral.
CACGUAGGGGGCGAGCGUUGUCCGGAUUUAUUGGGCGUAAAGAGCUCGUAGGCGGCUCGGUAAGUCGGGUGUGAAACCUCCAGGCUCAACCUGGAGACGCCACCUGAUACUGCCGUGGCUAGAGUCCGGUAGGGGAGCGUGGAACUCCUGGUGUAGCGGUGAAAUGCGCAGAUAUCAGGAAGAACACCAGCGGCGAAGGCGGCGCUCUGGGCCGGAACUGACGCUGAGGA